AUUGAACGCUGGCGGCAUGCCUUACACAUGCAAGUCGAACGGCAGCACGGGGGCGACCCUGGUGGCGAGUGGCGAACGGGUGAGUAGAAUAUCGGAACGUGCCCUGAAGUGGGGGAUAACGUAGCGAAAGUUACGCUAAUACCGCAUACGAUCUGUGGAUGAAAGCGGGGGAUCUUCGGACCUCGUGCUUUAGGAGUGGCCGAUAACUGAUUAGCUAGUUGGCGAGGUAAAGGCUCACCAAGGCGACGAUCAGUAGCUGGUCUGAGAGGACGACCAGCCACACUGGGACUGAGACACGGCCCAGACUCCUACGGGAGGCAGCAGUGGGGAAUUUUGGACAAUGGGGGCAACCCUGAUCCAGCAAUGCCGCGUGAGUGAAGAAGGCCUUCGGGUUGUAAAGCUCUUUUGUCGGGGAAGAAACGGUGGUGGUUAAUACCUGCUACUAAUGACGGUACCCGAAGAAUAAGCACCGGCUAACUACGUGCCAGCCGCCGCGGUAA
This 500-nucleotide ribosomal RNA is filed under the name uncultured bacterium. RNAcentral's name for it is "partial 16S ribosomal RNA". It matches the Rfam family "Bacterial small subunit ribosomal RNA", at positions 30 to 523 of the family's 1533-position model. The record is from RNAcentral.